GGAGCUGUCAAACAAGCUAAAAUCACUUGAAACGCCCUCAAACUAACUAACUGAUUUACAAUAUAAAUAACUGAUACCAAUAUACUUAAUAUAGUAUGUAGGAAUUUCGGACGCGGGUUCAACUCCCGCCAGCUCCACCA
Molecule: transfer RNA, 140 nt
Filed under: Cronobacter sakazakii
Lineage: Bacteria; Pseudomonadati; Pseudomonadota; Gammaproteobacteria; Enterobacterales; Enterobacteriaceae
Description: tRNA-OTHER
Rfam family: transfer-messenger RNA
About the family: Bacterial tmRNA, also known as 10Sa RNA or SsrA, is named for its dual tRNA and mRNA-like properties. Its role is to liberate the mRNA from a stalled ribosome. To accomplish this part of the tmRNA is used as a reading frame that ends in a translation stop signal.
Source: RNAcentral